UUUCCCCCGCUCCUCUCUCUCUUCUUUCUUCUCUCUUUCUUGUUCUCUCUCGUUUACAGAGGCGGCCGGCAAGGAGGAGGGUGCCGGCGGCGGGAGAAGCCGGCUCCGGCCAGUGGGAACCGGAUCCACGGUCGCGGGGUCCAGGCCGACUUGUCCCUUGGGACGGCGACGGCCGGGAAGCAGCCUGCAGGGCCGGCGACGGCGGCCAGAAGAGGGCGGCGGCGCUCCGGCGGGUUCAGGUUCAGGCCCAGGCGCGGCGGCCGGGAAGAACCAGGUAA
RNAcentral lists this long non-coding RNA (278 nucleotides) under Oryza brachyantha (malo sina). Its description in RNAcentral is "long non-coding RNA (OBRA_LNC000025)". Lineage: Eukaryota; Viridiplantae; Streptophyta; Magnoliopsida; Poales; Poaceae. The record is from RNAcentral.